This 611-nucleotide ribosomal RNA is filed under the name uncultured Acinetobacter sp. Its description in RNAcentral is "bacterial SSU rRNA". It matches the Rfam family "Bacterial small subunit ribosomal RNA", at positions 56 to 661 of the family's 1533-position model. Lineage: Bacteria; Pseudomonadati; Pseudomonadota; Gammaproteobacteria; Moraxellales; Moraxellaceae. The record is from RNAcentral.
UGCAAGUCGAGCGGGGGAAGGUAGCUUGCUACUGGACCUAGCGGCGGACGGGUGAGUAAUACUUAGGAAUCUGCCUAUUAGUGGGGGACAACGUUCCGAAAGGAGCGCUAAUACCGCAUACGCCCUACGGGGGAAAGCAGGGGAUCUUCGGACCUUGCGCUAAUAGAUGAGCCUAAGUCGGAUUAGCUAGUUGGUGGGGUAAAGGCCUACCAAGGCGACGAUCUGUAGCGGGUUUGAGAGGAUGAUCCGCCACACUGGGACUGAGACACGGCCCAGACUCCUACGGGAGGCAGCAGUGGGGAAUAUUGGACAAUGGGCGCAAGCCUGAUCCAGCCAUGCCGCGUGUGUGAAGAAGGCCUUAUGGUUGUAAAGCACUUUAAGCGAGGAGGAGGCUUACCUAGCUAAUACCUAGGAUAAGUGGACGUUACUCGCAGAAUAAGCACCGGCUAACUCUGUGCCAGCAGCCGCGGUAAUACAGAGGGUGCAAGCGUUAAUCGGAAUUACUGGGCGUAAAGCGCGCGUAGGUGGCCAUUUAAGUCAAAUGUGAAAUCCCCGAGCUUAACUUGGGAAUUGCAUUCGAUACUGGAUGGCUAGAGUAUAGGAGAGGAAGG